This 498-nucleotide ribosomal RNA is filed under the name uncultured bacterium. RNAcentral describes it as "partial 16S ribosomal RNA". It matches the Rfam family "Bacterial small subunit ribosomal RNA", at positions 28 to 507 of the family's 1533-position model. The record is from RNAcentral.
GACGAACGCUGGCGGCGUGCCUAAUACAUGCAAGUCGAGCGGACGGAUGGGAGCUUGCUCCCAGACCGUCAGCGGCGGACGGGUGAGUAACACGUGGGCAACCUGCCUGUAAGACUGGGAUAACUCCGGGAAACCGGGGCUAAUACCGGAUAACUCUUUCCCUCACAUGAGGGAAAGCGGAAAGAUGGCAUCUCGCUAUCACUUACAGAUGGGCCCGCGGCGCAUUAGCUAGUUGGUGAGGUAACGGCUCACCAAGGCGACGAUGCGUAGCCGACCUGAGAGGGUGAUCGGCCACACUGGGACUGAGACACGGCCCAGACUCCUACGGGAGGCAGCAGUAGGGAAUCUUCCGCAAUGGACGAAAGUCUGACGGAGCAACGCCGCGUGAGUGAUGAAGGUUUUCGGAUCGUAAAACUCUGUUGUCAGGGAAGAACAAGUACCGGAGUAACUGCCGGUACCUUGACGGUACCUGACCAGAAAGCCACGGCUAGCUACGUG